Molecule: ribosomal RNA, 246 nt
Filed under: uncultured bacterium
Lineage: Bacteria
Description: partial small subunit ribosomal RNA
Rfam family: Bacterial small subunit ribosomal RNA
Source: RNAcentral
AGAAUCAACGCUGGCGGCGUGCCUAACACAUGCAAGUCGCACGAGAAAGGGACUUCGGUCCUGAGUACAGUGGCGCACGGGUGAGUAACACGUGAAUAAUCUACCUCCGAGUGGGGAAUAACUGAGAGAAAUCUUAGCUAAUACCGCAUAACACUUACGAGUCAAAGCAGCAAUGCGCUUGGAGAGGAGUUCGCGGCAGAUUAGUUAGUUGGCGGGGUAAUGGCCCACCAAGACGAUGGAUCUGUA